GUUUGGUAAAGGUGUGUGAAACAGGUGUGUCAGGUAGAGUUGUGUGAUACAGGUGUGUGGUAGAGGAGUGUGAUACAGGUGUGAGGUAGAGAUGUGUGAUACAGGUGUGUGAUAGAGUUGUGUGAUACAGGUGUGUGGUAGAGAAGUGUGAUACAGGUGUGUGGUAGGGGUGUGUGAUACAGGUGUGUGGUACAGGUGUGUGAUACAGGUGUGUGGUAGAGGUGUGUGAUACAGGUGCGUGUGUGGUAGAGGUGUGUGAUACAGGAGUGUGGUAGAGGUGUGUGAUACAGGUGUGUGGUAGAGGUGUGUGAUAGAGGAGUGUGAUACAGGUGUGUGGUAGAGGUGGUUGAUACAGGUGUGUGUGAUAGAGGUGUGUGAUACAGGUGUGUGAUAGAGGUGUUUGAUACAGGUGUGUGGUAGAGUUGUGUGAUACAGGUGUGUGAUACAGGUGUGUGUGUGUGAUACAGGAGCGUGGUACAGGUGUGUGAUAGAGGUGUGUGAUACAGGUGUGUGGUAGAGGUGUUUGGUAGAGGUGUGUGGUAGAGGUGUUUGAUACAGGUGUGAGGUAGAGGUG
Oncorhynchus tshawytscha (Chinook salmon) is the source of this 574-nucleotide long non-coding RNA. NCBI's taxonomy places the organism in Eukaryota, Metazoa, Chordata, Actinopteri, Salmoniformes, Salmonidae. The record is from Ensembl.